Haliotis rubra (blacklip abalone) is the source of this 606-nucleotide long non-coding RNA. RefSeq lists it as uncharacterized. The transcript has 2 exons. The record is from RefSeq and is a predicted model, not a curated record. Lineage: Eukaryota; Metazoa; Mollusca; Gastropoda; Lepetellida; Haliotidae.
UCGUAGGCAAGAUACCGGAACUUUCCUGUUUUCAGACCACAUUAAGAACAGGUUUGCGAAAAUAUAUUGCGAUGUUACUCCUCAUAUUUGGAUGUAAACAAAAACAUCGCACCUGUGUGUACUGUAACAAAGAUCACACUUGUGUACUGUAACUUUGACCAGGAAGCAUAUGAAUGUGUACAUUUCUUAAGGAUUUUCUCCAACCCAAUCUGUCAGCAUUCUCAUUUGUAGCAUCACGCGUUGAGAAUGACAAAUGUUGUGAACAGUUUGAAAAAAAGAAGUCUAGUGAUUUACUUGGAGAAGAUGCAGUUGGGCGACAAGUCGACAAUGUCCCACCUUGGGUUCCAUAGACUGUUGAACAGUGAUGGCUGGUGAACUUCUGGUGCCUUGAUAUGUCUUCUCUGCUGCCUCCUGUCAGCCUGGGUGGCUGGGGGUGGUGCGGGGAACGACAUACGUCAGUUACGAAGAUAUUACACCAAUAAUGUUCCCCUGAAUGGCUGAGAGUGUUCAAGCACAGGUUCACUGGAAUGCUGACACGAGGGCGAAAUUUGAUUCAGAUGAAAUUACUAUGUAAACGACGCGUCAAAUUAAAGAUUGUGAGGUUGG